Long non-coding RNA from Oncorhynchus masou masou (cherry salmon), 3377 nucleotides. RefSeq lists it as uncharacterized. The transcript has 2 exons. The record is from RefSeq and is a predicted model, not a curated record. NCBI's taxonomy places the organism in Eukaryota, Metazoa, Chordata, Actinopteri, Salmoniformes, Salmonidae.
CGCUAUAAUGCAUUAUAAGGGCUCCUAGAGAUGCGCUAUAAUGCAUUAUAAGGGCUCCUAGAGAUGCGCUAUAAUGCAUUAUAAGGGCUCCUAGAGAUGCGCUAUAAUGCAUUAUAAGGGCUCCUAGAGAUGCGCUAUAAUGCAUUAUAAGGGCUCCUAGAGAUGCGCUAUAAUGCAUUAUAAGGGCUCCUAGAGAUGCGCUAUAAUGCAUUAUAAGGGCUCCUAGAGAUGCGCUAUAAUGCAUUAUAAGGGCUCCUAGAGAUGCGCUAUAAUGCAUUAUAAGGGCUCCUAGAGAUGCGCUAUAAUGCAUUAUAAGGGCUCCUAGAGAUGCGCUAUAAUGCAUUAUAAGGGCUCCUAUAGAUGCGCUAUAAUGCAUUAUAAGGGCUCCUAGAGAUGCGCUAUAAUGCAUCGUACCUGUUGGCGCUUUAGUGAAGACUCUCCCUGACACAACACGUUAAGCCUGUUGAUGAAUCUGAUUUGCACUGUGUGAAAUGAAGGAGAGGAAGGAAGCUUUUAUUUAUUCUAGACUUGUUUUAAAGUAGUGUGUCGACCCACUGGGAGAGGCUGCUGAGCUACACACGACACAGACCUUUUCUUCACGUUUUCUGUUGGAGACUUCAUUCAGUGGGAAAUGACACCAGGUCAGAAUUUGCAGGUAUGUUUUUGUAAUUUUGCGGAGGUUUCACAACGUGGAAUUAGAAUUAAUAUAUUGGAAUGAAUAGAAUGAAUAGAUUGGAAUGAAUAGAUUGGAAUGAAUAGAAUGAAUAGAUUGGAAUGAAUAGAAUGAAUAGAUUGGAAUGAAUAGAAUGAAUAGAUUGGAAUGAAUAGAAUGAAUAGAUUGGAAUGAAUAGAAUGAAUAGAUUGGAAUGAAUAGAUUGGAAUGAAUAGAAUGAAUAGAUUGGAAUGAAUAGAAUGAAUAGAUUGGAAUGAAUAGAAUGAAUAGAUUGGAAUGAAUAGAUUGGAAUGAAUAGAAUGAAUAGAUUGGAAUGAAUAGAAUGAAUAUAUUGGAAUGAAUAGAAUGAAUAGUUAUUCAUUGACCACUCCUGGUUACAGUUGGACUGCAGUGAUUGUCUGCGUCCAUUAGGUGGGGUUGUUGAGGUCUGUAGCUUUCCGAGCAGGACACAGUGGUUGUGGGAUUGAAGUGAAGGUAUUUAUGACAGUGUGUACAACAUGUACAUGGCCAAGGGAAACCUCUGGGCUCGGGUUGGGCGCUACCCACACUUCCAUACUGGGGCGUACGGUACUAACAGAAGGGCACACAAAGGACACUUUCAAAUUAUUAUUAUUAUUUUAAACAUUUUUACGAUAUGGAAAAUCAUACCGUGGGUAUUUUGAAAUACCCCGGUAUACGGUAUAUCGGCCGACUCUGGACCCUCAGUAUAUACUACUGCCUGUAUAGGGAUGUUACGGUACCUACCCAGAACUCUGCUUGUGUUCUAGAUGGAACCCUAUGUAGUUCACUAUAUAUCUCUGUUUGUCUCUCUCUGUUUCUCUCUGUCUGUCUCUCUCUCCCUCUCUGUCUGUCUCUCUCUCUGUAUCUCUGUCUCUCUCUCUGUCUCUCGGUCUGUCUGUCUUGCUCUCUGUUUCUCUCUCUGUGUUUCUCUCUGUCUCUCUGUUUCUCUCUCUGUCUCUCGGUCUGUCUGUCUGUCUCUCUGUCUGUCUGUCUUGUUCUCUGUUUCUCUCUCUCUGUUUCCCUCUCUGUCUCUCUCUCUCUGUGUGUCUCUGUCUCUCGGUCUGUCUCUCUGACUCUCUGUCUCUCUCUCUGUCUCUCUGACUCUCUGUCUCUCUGACUCUCUGUCUCUCUCUCUGUCUCUCUGACUCUCUGUCUCUCUGACUCUCUGUCUCUCUGACUCUCUGUCUCUCUCUCUGUCUGUCUGUCUGUCUGUCUGUCUGUCUGUCUGUCUGUCUGUCUGUCUGUCUGUCUGUCUGUCUGUCUGUCUGUCUGUCUGUCUGUCUGUCUGUCUGUCUGUCUCUCUCUCUGUCAUAAGUGCCAUUUGGGACACAGUCUAUAUUUUUUCUCUAGAUGUUUUGCACUCUGACCUGCUGCUAUAGAAACAUAUACAUUUACAUUGUCAAUGUAAAAAUCGACGCUGUGUUUCUCUGAGUUGAAAACAUAAGACCAUCUGAAUGACAACAUGCAGACAGGGUGGGCUCUGGUCUAAAGUAGUGCACUAUGUAGGGAGUAGGGUGCCAUUUGGGAUACAGAUGGUCUGUUUGUAUUUCAGUUGGUGUGUCAGUCUUUACUAGCCAGGAUGCCAGAUAUGUUUGUUGUGACUGUCUGUGUAGAAGCUGGAGACGGGCUGGUAUAACCUGGCAACCCGGCUGGAUCAUUUCCAACAGAGAUGACUGAUCGUCUCCACAAAAAGGUCCGCUGUAUCGCCUGGCAACCCGACGAUUUCUAGAAUGGAAAUCCAUACUAGACCGUCUGAUUGGUCCAACCCGACCAGAGCCAGAACACGUGUGGCUGUAGCUUCAUUUUGAUACUCUGAUUGGUUAGAGAUGAUCCAAUCGCUGAUGACGACUUCAUUUUGAUACUCUGAUUGGUUAGAGAUGAUCCAAUCGCUGAUGACAACUUCCCUGGUUAGACUCCAAACAGCUGUAGGGUCAGAUUGGACCCCCUGGUUUGACUCCAAACAGCUGUAGGGUCAGAUUGGACCCCCUGGUUUGACUCCAAACAGCUGUAGGGUCAGAUUGGACCCCCUGGUUAGACUCCAAACAGCUGUAGGGUCAGAUUGGACACCCUGGUUUGACUCCAAACAGCUGUAGGGUCAGAUUGGACCCCCUGGUUUGACUCCAAACAGCUGUAGGGUCAGAUUGGACCCCCUGGUUUGACUCCAAACAGCUGUAGGGUCAGAUUGGACCCCCUGGUUUGACUCCAAACAGCUGUAGGGUCAGAUUGGACCCCCUGGUUAGACUCCAAACAGCUCUAGGGUCAGAUUGGACCCCCUGGUUAUACCCCAAACCCUCAGAUGAUCAUAUGGAAUCAACUUGUUUUUUCUAGUUAUUUUUCUGACAUGAUUUAAAAUCUGUUUUUCUUCUUUCAAUCCUCUGUUUGUUUUGACACUUUGUCUUCGGUCACUGGAUGAUUUAGUAUCUGAAAUGGCACCCUAUUCCCUAUGUAGGGCUCUGAUCAGAAGUAGUGCACUAUGUAGGGAAUAGGGUGUUAUAGAGCUCUGGCACCCUAUUCCCUAUGUAGGGCUCUGAUCAGAAGUAGUGCACUAUGUAGGGAAUAGGGUGCCAUUUGGGAUGUAGAUUUACUGUCUGUUGCUUGUUUUUGUUUUGUGUUUUUUGUACAGUUCUAGAUGUUCAGUAAACAUGAUCCUGUUUUAUAACUAUUUGAAAACCCCGUUUUGUGAACUAAUAAAGUGAUGUAUUAA